This 69-nucleotide transfer RNA is filed under the name Ictidomys tridecemlineatus (thirteen-lined ground squirrel). Its description in RNAcentral is "Spermophilus tridecemlineatus (thirteen-lined ground squirrel) tRNA". It matches the Rfam family "tRNA". Rfam says of the family: Transfer RNA (tRNA) molecules are approximately 80 nucleotides in length. Their secondary structure includes four short double-helical elements and three loops (D, anti-codon, and T loops). Further hydrogen bonds mediate the characteristic L-shaped molecular structure. tRNAs have two regions of fundamental functional importance: the anti-codon, which is responsible for specific mRNA codon recognition, and the 3' end, to which the tRNAs corresponding amino acid is attached (by aminoacyl-tRNA synthetases). tRNAs cope with the degeneracy of the genetic code in two manners: having more than one tRNA (with a specific anti-codon) for a particular amino acid; and 'wobble' base-pairing, i.e. permitting non-standard base-pairing at the 3rd anti-codon position. The record is from Rfam by way of RNAcentral. Lineage: Eukaryota; Metazoa; Chordata; Mammalia; Rodentia; Sciuridae.
GGGGUUGUAGCUCAGUGGUAGAGCGCUCGCCUAGCAUGUGUGAGGCCCUGGGUUCGAUCCUCAGCACCA